This 96-nucleotide transfer RNA is filed under the name Alphaproteobacteria bacterium. RNAcentral's name for it is "tRNA-Sec". It matches the Rfam family "Selenocysteine transfer RNA". The record is from RNAcentral. Lineage: Bacteria; Pseudomonadati; Pseudomonadota; Alphaproteobacteria.
GGAAGGGGAACGCAUUCCGGUGUUGCGCGCGGGCUUCAAACCCGUUGAGGGGCGUUAGACGUGCUUGGUGGGUUCGACUCCCACUCUCUUCCGCCA